UUACCAAAAUGACUUUAAGUGACUUAUAUGUUUCUUAUAUGCAACUUAUACUUGACCUAUAAGAGAACUAUAAGUUACAUAUAAGUCACUUAUAAAUCACCUAAAAACCUGUCUAAGUCAGUUAUAGGUAUAUGCUACAUAUAAGUCACUUUUGGCCAUUUUUUCCCCAACAUAUAAGUCACCUAUAAGUGCCUUAUACUGGUGAAGUUUGGUCGUAACCAGUUUCUAUGUUAGAUAUAAGUGAAAACUUAGAACUUUUGCAAGACUUUUUAUCACUGAGCAAAGCUGAAAAAAUUACUAAGUACAAAAACAUGAGAAAAAUUGAUAAAAUUUAUUGAAGUUGAUUUGUAAUUCUUUGCUUUAACACAAUGGGUAUCAAAAUACUCAGAAUUUAAAAUACUAUAAUCUUAGACCUUAAUCACAAACAAUUAAGAUUUUUUUUUAAAUGUUGCUUAUUAAUUUUUAAACACAGCUGGGGGUUUUUAAAUAAGAUAAUAGGAAAAAUGAUUAUCAAUUAAGUAUAUUACCUGUAAAAAAUUUUGGUACAUAUUCUGUGCGGAAUUGGGACAGAAAUGGCAUUCAAUCAGUGAUUUCUAGGCUACCAUGGACAGAAAUGAAAUUCCAUGUCAUUUCUUCUCACAAGGAAAAUAUUUCACAUAAAAGUCACCCAAGGCAUAAUUCUACUCUUGUUUUUUUUCUAACUUGAAACAGACAUUGAAAUCUAUAUGUUUUUACCAACUGUACUUCUUACAGACCUAAUUUCUGGGAAGUAAGAUAUUCUAACAAGAAAAAGAGGUGUAUUGUUUUAAUAUACAAGUGUUAUUUUUAAGACAUUUAGGCCUAGUGUAUUUUAGAUAUUUAAACAAUAAAAAAAACAGUGCUUGAAAUAAACAGUUUAUAUUGCCCUUUUAAUCUAUAUAAAAUCAAGGAACCAAUAUGCCUGAAGAUUGCUUAUAUUUUCUACAUCCACUGAUACACCACAUAGAUCAGAGGUCUGAUAAAACUGGCCACCUGCCUUUGCCACCAUAUGUGCAUGACUAAUUUUUUGACUGGUCAUUCCUACAAAUCAGACUGUUCCAUGUGAUUAUUUUGGGGAAAGAUAACAUUUCCUAUCCUGAAUUUGUAAAAAAGGACAUUGCAUUUUCUUUUUCAAAAAUGUAUAAUGAUUUUUAAACUUUACAUAUCUAUUAGUUAUUUGAUUUUUUUUUCACAUUCAAUGAUUGUAAGAUAGAACUAAUGAGUGCUUUGAUUUUUGGAUUUACCCUGUUUUACAUAACAUUGGACCUGCCCAGGUACACAGCUGUAAGUCUGAAACAUUUAGGUUAGCAAGCUGGUGGAAAUCACAGAGAAUCUUCUUGAUGUUUUAGGAAUUUUAGAGAUAUUGUUUUGUUUAAGAUGUUUAAGUAUAGUUAUGGUAAAUAAGAAUGACAAGAAGAAUCACCUUGGACAAGAAGAUAUACAACAAAAUCAGGUAAAUACCUUUGAGUUACAUUUAUGCAGAAUUGAUACAGGUUAUAUAAAUAAACAAUCAAAGUAAGAUGGCAGCAAACUAAAAUUUGUAACUUGAGAGAUCAAGGCUGUUUUUAUUUCUAUGCUUCAUACAUUAGAUUUACUAAUACAUGUAAUUGAUUUUUUAGAUCUAGAUUUAAUAGUCAAAUUAAUUGAAUUUUUAGAACUAAAUAGUACAAUCAGUAGUUUUAUGCAGCUGAAUAAGACAUUGUCAUCAUAAUCAUUUAUCAUUUUAUUGUUGUUUUCAAUGGGUAUCUGAUAUUACAUUUUACAUACAUUGCAGGCUAGUGGGACCAGUUCUUACUUUGAGAUGCCAGGUGAAUAAUGAUAUGCAGUAUUGAGCCAGAAAAGGUGAACACAGCCACAUGAAGUUCUCCGAGGAAAUAGAAGCAGAGCACUGAAACAGACAUCAAUAAAAGAAAUAGUAGUUUGAAUAAUCAGAAACAUUUGAUCAAAUUUAUGAUUUGAACAGUUCCUCACCGACAGACUUCCAGCAAAAUAAUUGUAUAAAUAAAGUGUUUGAUUCCAAGAAAACCAGUAAAAAACAAAAA
Ruditapes philippinarum (Manila clam) is the source of this 2060-nucleotide long non-coding RNA. RefSeq lists it as uncharacterized. NCBI's taxonomy places the organism in Eukaryota, Metazoa, Mollusca, Bivalvia, Venerida, Veneridae. The record is from RefSeq and is a predicted model, not a curated record. The transcript has 2 exons.